GACAGAGGAUGCGAGCGUUAUCCGGAUUCAUUGGGUUUAAAGGGUGCGUAGGCGGACUGAUAAGUCAGUGGUGAAAACCUGCAGCUUAACUGUAGAACUGCCAUUGAUACUGUUAGACUUGAGUAUGGUCAAGGUAGGCGGAAUGUGUAAUGUAGCGGUGAAAUGCUUAGAUAUUACACAGAACACCGAUUGCGAAGGCAGCUUGCUGGGCCAUUACUGACGCUGAUGCACGAAAGCGUGGGGAG
Molecule: ribosomal RNA, 245 nt
Filed under: uncultured bacterium
Lineage: Bacteria
Description: partial 16S ribosomal RNA
Rfam family: Bacterial small subunit ribosomal RNA
Source: RNAcentral